This 507-nucleotide ribosomal RNA is filed under the name uncultured bacterium. RNAcentral describes it as "partial 16S ribosomal RNA". It matches the Rfam family "Bacterial small subunit ribosomal RNA", at positions 28 to 523 of the family's 1533-position model. The record is from RNAcentral.
GACGAACGCUGGCGGCGUGCUUAACACAUGCAAGUCGAACGAGAAAGCCCUUCGGGGUAAGUACAGUGGCGAACGGGUGAGUAACACGUGGGCAACCUGCCCCGGAGAGCGGGACAACCCGAGGAAACUCGGGCUAAUACCGCAUGAUGCGUCUCCACUUAAGCGGAGCCGCCAAAUGGUAGCUUCGGCCUCCGCUCUGGGAUGGGCCCGCGCCGGAUUAGCUAGUUGGUUGGGGGAAUGGCCCACCAAGGCGACGAUCCGUAGCUGGUCUGAGAGGACGAUCAGCCACACUGGGACUGAGACACGGCCCAGACUCCUACGGGAGGCAGCAGUGGGGAAUCUUGCGCAAUGGGCGAAAGCCUGACGCAGCAACGCCGCGUGAGGGAAGAAGGCCUUCGGGUUGUAAACCUCUUUCAGUAGGGACGAAGCUUCCGGGGUUAAUAGCCCACGGGGUGACGGUACCUACAGAAGAAGCCCCGGCUAACUACGUGCCAGCCGCCGCUGUAA